RNAcentral lists this ribosomal RNA (963 nucleotides) under Triticum aestivum (bread wheat). RNAcentral describes it as "partial small subunit ribosomal RNA". The record is from RNAcentral. Lineage: Eukaryota; Viridiplantae; Streptophyta; Magnoliopsida; Poales; Poaceae.
AUGCACCUUCGCAGCCAACUCCGCCGUGGGCGCGUCGCCGCCGCCGCCGCCGCCGCCAUCCUGCUCGUGAUCGGCCUCGGCGCCGGGUUCACGGGGGCGGACACCGACACGUUCAUCUACGCGGGGUGCUCGCCGUCCAAGUACCAGCCGGGGACCCCCUACGAGGGCAACCUCAAGUCGCUCCUCGCCUCCAUCACCGACGCGGCGCCCAACGCCGCGUACAGCAGCUUCGCCAACGGCACGGGCGACGGCGCCGCCGCGUACGGGCUCUACCAGUGCCGCGGCGACCUGGGCAACGCCGAGUGCGCGGCGUGCGUGCGGGACGCGCUGGCGCAGCUCGGCCAGGUGUGCCCGGGCGCCUACGCGGCGUCGCUGCAGCUGGAGGGGUGCUACGUGCGCUACGACGGCACCAACUUCGUGGGCCGGCCGGACACGGCCAUGGUGUACCGCAAGUGCAGCGCCAGCACCAGCGCCGACGCCGGCUUCCUCCGGGACCGGGACGCCGUGCUGGGCGCGCUCCAGGCUGCGGCGGCCGACGGGUACAGGGUGGGCAGCUCCGGUAGCGUGCAGGGGGUCUCGCAGUGCCUGGGCGACCUGGCCGCCGCCGACUGCACGGGGUGCCUUGCGCAGGCGGUCGGGCAGCUCAAGGGCGCCUGCGGCACGGCGCUCGCCGCCGACGUGCACCUGGCGCAGUGCUACGUCCGGUACUGGGCCAGCGGCUACUACUUCCGGCCGUCACAAGAUUAUUCGCAAGAUGACGUGGGGCGGACUCUGGCCAUAAUCAUAGGCAUCUUGGCAGGGCUGGCCCUCAUCGUGGUCUUCAUCUCCUUCCUCAAGAAAUCAUGUAAGGCCUCCUCGAAAACUUUCUCUUGUUUUCAGUUCGUAGAGCAUCUGAAUGCCCUUCUAUAUUAUACUUACCAAUCGCAGCGAGUGCUUGUCAAAAAGCAGAGUCUGAAGAACUAA